CGGCAACUUCGUGGAGGGGCAGUGUGUACGACGCCUAUGACCACGCCUGCAACAUCUGUCUUGAGGCCUUCUGUGACAGUUACAAGCUGCAAGCAUGAUUUGCAUCUCCAGUGCAUCCUUGAGUGGUGAGGACCAUGCUUUCUUGCCUUUGCAAUUUGACCAAAAGUUCUGUAACCAUUCGACAAGGUGAGAUCUCCUAUUCUCCCCGUACUGUUUUCUCUUUUGGCUGAUGUGAUUUUACUCUGUUUGUGGGAGUGGGAGUGGUGUUACUUUGCAACCAUGAAUAGUGAAGUACAUGGCUUCAUGUCUUGGAUAGUUUUCACUUUAGAUUUAGAUGGCAUUGGUUGUGUGCGAUAAUGUUGUCGCUUGGUGGUUUUGAUAGGAUAGUGCCUCAUCCUAUAGGACAUGCUUAGACCAUCUGAAUAUUUUUUUGCGGACAACACACUUGCACCAUGAUUUAUAAGAUUUUCUAUCUCACAUGUUGGCCUGAGGGAUUCACUAUCUUCAGUGAGGCCAAUCAUUUUGUCUAAAUGGUGGUGUUACAUCAAAAUUUACAUGUACUGCAUCACAUUAUAGUGUCUUUUUUAGCCUUGUAGGUAUAUUAGAUAAGUAUAUCUAAGAAAUGGUCGAUGUUUUAUGAUGAUUGGUUCGUGUUGUGGAGCUACUGCGAAUGAUCAUACGAACCAAGUCAACCAUAAUUUUUUUUGUUCUGGUUUGGAUACUAAAGGUUGUUUGUAUAUGAAAAGAAAAUAUGCUUCCAGGAAUGUAUACACCAACUACAGUCCUCCACACAAAAACAUGUUGCCAUGAUUCCAUUCAACCAAAUUCUAAAUGAUAAAAUAUUAUAUAGGUAUUUAAAUUCAAAAUCUUGUUGGUAGCUUACCAAGCUGACCGCUUGAUUAAAUUCGAGUGGAACAAAGUUUGCAUCAUUUCGUGCCGAUUUUAUUUAAUCAACAGUGUUCAUAAUUUCAUCUGUCAUAUGUUUGUUUGCUACUUCCAUGCCUUGCUCCGGUAAUUAGCAAGACUGCUCCUAAUUUGACACUUUUUAGAAUAGAUACAGCUGCUUCGAAUUAUGAGGAAUCUUUAGUUAAUGUUAAAGAAACUAAGUAAAAAUUUAGGAUGAUGUUAAUUCCUAUGUUUUUGUAGGAUAUUGGCUCACUAAAUUACUUACCUUGAAUAUACUAAUAAAUAUAACAUGUUUGUAGUUGUUAGUAAUUAAUUUCACCCAUGUAAUAAUCCAUUUUCCAAAGGCUAAAUGUUUUAUCUUUCAUACUGUUGGUGUGUGACAGCUUCAGACGGCAUGGGCGAGCUUUCAUUUAUUCAUGGAUCUAGCACAAAUGUUUGAGGUUGUUCUGCUCUUGGGGUUUCUAGCUUCUUAUGUAGAUAGGUCGUAUUAUGGCCCUUUGGAGUUUAGGUGCGGGUAAUUAGAUACCUGCAGCAAUUGUAUGGGUUUGUCGUUGUAGAUUACAACUACACCACCAUGAUGACCUAUCGAGAACUUGCUCGCUCUGCGGUUAUUCUUGCCGCGUCCGUCUGCUGCUGCCGCUGGCUGCUGCGCCGCUGCUGGUUGCCUUGCCUGCAGCUGCUCAGCUGUUCUGCUAGGCGCUGCUACUGUUGCCCCUGUUUUUUCAGUUUAGUCAUGUAACACCCAUGUGCUGGUAUAUUUCAUUCCCUUGUGAAAUUAAUCGUUUAUGUGUAUGAAAGUUUUUAGAAUAUCACAAAAAUGUUCAGUUUUAGUGUCCAGUUCACUGCCAAUUCUCUUCCUGCUUUUGUCGUGACCAUGCAAAUCAAUUAUCUUGUGGAUUGACUAUGCCUUGCUUACCUUGCAUUGGGUUUAUUUUGCUAUUUGUGAUAUAGUAAACUCAUCUAUCAUGGAUGGUUACUUUGAUUUUUUAGAUGUAAACAGUUUCUCAAACCUUCCUACUAACUUGACUAUUACCUGCUUAAUUACUACGUUUGGACCGGCACCUUCGCACCAAGGCGCACAACCGGCUCACCGCAAGUACACCUACGCCGCCGCUUCCCCGGGGGGCUGCAAGGUGAAGUGGACGGCCGAGGAGAAGCCGCACGGGGCUGGGCUCUCAAGUGGGAGGCGGAGCUUGCCUCCCCCCAAUGACGUCAGCUUUGAUCACAAGUGGAAGUUGGAGCCCAAGUCCAAGCCCGGUGCCGCCAACAAGGCCAAGACCAAGCUCGAGGAAGCCAACGAGGAUGACAGGAAUAAGCCGGCGAUGAAGUGCACGCACAUCGAGGAGGUCCUCGCCGGUUGCGACGCCAUCCACAAGGAUGAUGACUAUCUAAUGGUGAUUCCCUAUUCCCACAUUUUUUGCCCUCAUGUUGCAAGCUCUAAAGCUGCCCCUGUAAUUUACCAUCACAAGACAUGUCUGGGCAGCAAGUCUCCUGUGACGAUUACUCUUAAUUCGUCGUUAUAAUUGUUUGAUGGUUUGCUUGUUCCAACCUCGCUAUCUGCCUUUAGAUUCCCGUUGUUGUCUUUGUAGUGGAAGGUACCACUUGGUGGUAUGUUGCUAUUUUCACUUUGUUCUGAACAAGGCAUGUAUAGAUUUCAGAUUUUAAUUCCUAUCUCUUUGUCGUAAAAAGUAAUGUAUGGUCCUGUGUUU
RNA transcript from Triticum aestivum (bread wheat), 2615 nucleotides. RefSeq lists it as uncharacterized. The record is from RefSeq and is a predicted model, not a curated record. Lineage: Eukaryota; Viridiplantae; Streptophyta; Magnoliopsida; Poales; Poaceae. The transcript is spliced from 4 exons.